UGGAGGAAUCUGCAUUUUGAGAAGUACGAUAGUUUCAGACAAGGAAGCUGGUGUGAAGCUUCGACAUAGGAAGGGAGGGGAGAGGACCAAGUAUUCCCUUUGUUGUAUUGCUUUUGGUGGUCCUAUCCAUUUUUUCCUCUCCCAAGAUUCUCUCAGAGGUGUGAGAUUAGCUCCUGUUAAGGGAGUUCCUUUUGAGUGCAAGAGGAAGUCCCAAUUGGAUGGUGGGUGUUGGUUCAAAUGAGAGCUCUGGGAACUGAAUGAUGGGAGGCAGUGGCUUAUGUUUAUAUUGGAGGAAAAAUUUUUGGAAGGGUGUUGGUUAAGGUUUUUGGAAUGCUCAGUGAGGUGGAUUAAAAGAGGGCAGCGGGAGGAAGAAGGAGGAGGGCGGUGAGGAUGGAAGGAUGGGAAGGAUGGAGAACCAUAACAUGCAUGAAUUCUUGACGAGGAAUUCAGUCCCACCCCAAUGCCCCCAACCCCAACUGCUGCUGGUCCCUCAGGCUUCCGUCAAACACACAGCACCCCUCAACCACCCACCCCCACCCGGC
RNAcentral lists this long non-coding RNA (542 nucleotides) under Elaeis guineensis (African oil palm). RNAcentral describes it as "long non-coding RNA (EGUI_LNC027617)". The record is from RNAcentral. Lineage: Eukaryota; Viridiplantae; Streptophyta; Magnoliopsida; Arecales; Arecaceae.